Mastomys coucha (southern multimammate mouse) is the source of this 1788-nucleotide long non-coding RNA. RefSeq lists it as uncharacterized. The transcript has 5 exons. Lineage: Eukaryota; Metazoa; Chordata; Mammalia; Rodentia; Muridae. The record is from RefSeq and is a predicted model, not a curated record.
CUCACGGAGUGUGUUAAAUACUUCGCGAUCUCAGGCAGCAUUUGGGAGCCUCGGGAGCCACGCAGAGCGUGGUGACUGCAGUCCAGUGGGGGCCCUGGAAACCCACAGGGAUGGCCACAGCACAUGCUUUGUCCCUUUAGAGGGUUGCUGCACAUAGCUGGCCAGAUUAUACUUGCAAAUGUUCUCAGGCAUGUCGGCAGGAAGGGGACAUUGAGAGUACCAACAGUGUGGCCUUUGUUCUAAUGAUGCUGCAGGGAGGGGCCCGGGGCAAGUGGCAGAUUUUCGAAGCGUGGUUCAUGCCAAGAGACGUCUGCUACAUCUCCUGGGAAGAGGACUCCGUUCUGGGCUGCCUGGUGGCUUUCCUCUUCCUGUUCGGUCAUACAGUUCAAUUCCACAUCAAAGGGAUUAGUUUCGUUUGGCCCUUGUUGCACAGCCUGGCUUCCUGGAGGAGGUGUCCCUCUUAUUUCUUCACUGACCUACAUUUCUCACCGUGAUGCAGUUAACAUGGGCCAUCAGGCUUCAGUGCAGACCCUAGAGUUCCUAUUCAUGGUCACCAAGGCCUGGGGUGAGGGACGACGUACUCUAACCUCUGAAUCUACUCCACUGUGGGAAGAUCCUAUCAGUCAGUACAAAAGUGAUUUACACGAAGUGUUUCACACAGAAUGCAUCUGGUGCACGCUGGCAUCUGGUGCACGCUGGCUUCUGGUGCACGCUGGCUUCUGGUGCACGCUGGCUUGUGCUACUUCCAAUCACUUCUCGUUCCACUGACUGCCCAUUUGGUCUCUCCUGUGUUCUGAGCACCCACAGCUUGAGAGCGGUUCCUGUCUUCCUCCUGGGAGAAUCCAGUUCCUGAGAAGCCUCGGGCAGCUUCACCCAUGACUUUCAGGACUACCAAUCUGGAGGGUUUCAAUGAGGGCAAAUCCAGAAAAAAGGCCUGAAUCUGUAACUGUGGCUGCGAGUACUUAAGAUGGACUUGUCCUGUGGCCACGUGGGGCCAGGAGACAUCCUGAGCCUCAAUCUGGGCUGAGGAUGAACCAGACCAGUGGAGAAAGAAGAAGUGGAAGGCUAUCAGGAACUCUUCCAACCCUCGAAAGCUCAGGUUACAGUCAUCCCGAUGAUGAGCCUCCUGGAUGCAUGUACUGCAGAACCCAACCCCUGAAUUCUAAACAAAUUAGUUCAGUUCAUGCAACUUAUGGUGAUGAAAAGUCACCUCCAGUCCCUCCAUAACAAGGCCCGUGAGCCUUCCUGUAAGGAAGUCCCAUGACUGGGCCUUCUAGUUACCAGAGAAAGGGGGUAAUGAGAGACUAAAUUUUUUGAGUUCAGACUCUAUCUUAGAAAACCUGACCUAAGUUUAAACUCAAGUAAACUAACAGGGUUGUACCUAGCAUCAAUUUCCAAGUUAUCCCCCAACAAAACCUGAGCCUAGCUCCAGUUUUUAGGCUACCCACAACAAGACCUGCAUCUCCAGGUUAUUCUCUGCCAAUAAACCCAGCAUUUAGCACCAGUUUCUAGAUUAAUUCCCAACAAAUCUGCACCUCCAGGUUAUAAGCCCACCCCCUGCCAAUUAGGAGGAAAGCAGAAGUUAAGUUUAUGGUUUGGCUCCCAACACAAACCAAUUUGCUAAACCAUAGUAGCACCCCAAUUAGAUGCUUGCCAGGCUAGAAACACUCACCCCUUGCUUGCCACUUUCUAUAAAACCUUGUCUCGAUGAACAUUCGGGGCUUUUCUUCAGAGAAAAACAUUCAUUAAGCCCAAACUAGCUCGAAUAAAGACCCUGGUGUGAAUGCA